This is a long non-coding RNA of Ananas comosus (pineapple), 771 nucleotides long. RefSeq lists it as uncharacterized. The record is from RefSeq and is a predicted model, not a curated record. The transcript has 4 exons. Lineage: Eukaryota; Viridiplantae; Streptophyta; Magnoliopsida; Poales; Bromeliaceae.
AAGCACUCCCCCACUCUCCCUCUCUCUCUCUCUCUCUCUCUAACACACACGCACACACACUCUCUCUCUCUCUCUCUAUCGAUAGAGAGAGAGAAAUGGCGAUGACCUCCUCUGGAGGAGGAAACGCGCCCGAUGCGAAGGUGGAGACGAUCUCGCGCUUGGCGCAGUGGCGGAUCGAGAGCUUCGGCCCCUCCUCGUACCGACGAUCCGACCCCUUCAAGCUCGGAUUCUGGAACUGGUAUUUAUCGGUCGAGAAGAACAGAUACAUGUACAUCCGCCUUUUUCCCGAACCAUGCCGGAUUUCUAAGGACCAGCCACCAAUCGCCCGGUUUGUGCUCCGUGUCUCGAGCCCUGGGCCUGGACGCCGCCCCUACAUCUAUUGAUUAUGUGUGGCUUUGAGGUCAACAGAUUCCAGCAGCUUCCCCUGCGGAAGCAUAUGUUCCGACGAUUGAUUUUUGUGCGAUUUUCGACUGGAUAGCUUCUUAGCUUAGAAGCCGCUUUUGAGGUACUGAGACUGAUUCGCAGGGCGGGGCUGGGAGCGAGUGAACGUUAGAUGUAGCUAGAUUUGAUUCUAGCCUUUUUCGUCUUCUUUCUAUUGCAUUUAGAUAUGAAUUUUGAACUUCGUAGAUAACCAUUUGUUUAUCUGUUUCUACUUUGUUAAUUCUUCGUACCCAUAUUUGUUAUUUAGAGUACUUGUUAGACUAAAUUUUGUUUGCGUUGCAUAAUAAACGUUAGUUCUGCUUAUAUGAUAUUUUCUUUUGAUUCUAGUUG